AGUCACUGACAUUAGAUACCCCCGUAGUCCAGGGUGUAAACGCUGCAGACUUGGUGUUGGGAAGUCCUUUGGGGGCAUUCAGUGCCGGAGAGAAGUUGUUAAGUCUGCUACUUGGGGAGUACGUCCGCAAGGAUGAAACUUAAAGGAAUUGGCGGGGGAGCACCGCAACGGGAGGAGCGUGCGGUUUAAUUGGAUUCAACACCGUAAACUCACCAGGGAAGACUGUUACAUGAAAGCCGAGAUGAAGACUCUGCUAGAUUUUCAG
Molecule: ribosomal RNA, 265 nt
Filed under: uncultured archaeon
Lineage: Archaea
Description: partial 16S ribosomal RNA
Rfam family: Archaeal small subunit ribosomal RNA
Source: RNAcentral